Molecule: ribosomal RNA, 442 nt
Filed under: uncultured bacterium
Lineage: Bacteria
Description: bacterial SSU rRNA
Rfam family: Bacterial small subunit ribosomal RNA
Source: RNAcentral
GUACGGGAGGCAGCAGUAGGGAAUAUUGCUUAAUGGGCGAAAGCCUGAAGCAGCAACGCCGCGUGUGCGAUGAAGGCCUUCGGGUUGUAAAGCACUUUUUGCUGGGAAGAGGAAGGACGGUACCAGCAGAAUAAGCCUCGGCUAACUACGUGCCAGCAGCCGCGGUAAAACGUAGGAGGCGAGCGUUAUCCGGAUUUACUGGGUGUAAAGCGCGUGCAGGCGGUUUACUAAGUUAGGUGUGAAAGCUCCUGGCUCAACUGGGAGAGGUCGCUUAAGACUGGUAGACUUGAGAGCAGUAGGGGAAGGUGGAAUUCCGGGUGUAGUGGUGAAAUGCGUAGAUAUCCGGAGGAACACCAGUGGCGAAGGCGGCCUUCUGGACUGCAUCUGACGCUCAGACGCGAAAGCUAGGGUAGCAAACGGGAUUAGAUACCCCGGUAGUCCG